This 520-nucleotide ribosomal RNA is filed under the name uncultured Glomeromycotina. RNAcentral's name for it is "SSU rRNA". It matches the Rfam family "Eukaryotic small subunit ribosomal RNA", at positions 569 to 1092 of the family's 1831-position model. Lineage: Eukaryota; Fungi; Glomeromycota. The record is from RNAcentral.
AGCAGCCGCGGUAAUUCCAGCUCCAAUAGCGUAUAUUAAAGUUGUUGCAGUUAAAAAGCUCGUAGUUGAAUUUCGGGAUUAGUACGCUGGUCAUGCCUUUGGUAUGUACUGGUGUUACUGGUUUCUACCUUCUGAAGAACCGUUAUGUCAUUUAUUUGGUGUGGCGGGAAAUCAGGACUGUUACUUUGAAAAAAUUAGAGUGUUUAAAGCAGGCUCGCGCUUGAAUACAUUAGCAUGGAAUAAUGAAAUAGGACGUUUGACCCUAUUUUGUUGGUUUCUAGGGUCGACGUAAUGAUUAAUAGGGAUAGUUGGGGGCAUUAGUAUUCAAUUGUCAGAGGUGAAAUUCUUGGAUUUAUUGAAGACUAACUACUGCGAAAGCAUUUGCCAAGGAUGUUUUCAUUAAUCAAGAACGAAAGUUAGGGGAUCGAAGACGAUCAGAUACCGUCGUAGUCUUAACCAUAAACUAUGCCGACUAGGGAUCGGAUGAUGUUAUUUUUAAUGACUCAUUCGGCGCCUUACG